UCGGGAAUAUUGCGCAAUGGAGGAAACUCUGACGCAGUGACGCCGCGUGCAGGAAGAAGGUUUUCGGAUUGUAAACUGCUUUAGACAGGGAAGAAAAAAAUGACGGUACCUGUAGAAUAAGCUCCGGCUAACUACGUGCCAGCAGCCGCGGUAAUACGUAGGGAGCAAGCGUUAUCCGGAUUUAUUGGGUGUAAAGGGUGCGUAGACGGGUAUGCAAGUUAGUAGUGAAAUCCCUCGGCUUAACUGAGGAACUGCUACUAAAACUACAUAUCUUGAGUACUGGAGGGGAAAGUGGAAUUCCUAGUGUAGCGGUGAAAUGCGUAGAUAUUAGGAAGAACACCGGUGGCGAAGGCGACUUUCUGGACAGAAACUGACGUUGAGGCACGAAAGUGUGGGGAGCAAACAGG
This 407-nucleotide ribosomal RNA is filed under the name uncultured bacterium. RNAcentral describes it as "bacterial SSU rRNA". It matches the Rfam family "Bacterial small subunit ribosomal RNA", at positions 355 to 776 of the family's 1533-position model. The record is from RNAcentral.